Molecule: ribosomal RNA, 397 nt
Filed under: uncultured bacterium
Lineage: Bacteria
Description: partial 16S ribosomal RNA
Rfam family: Bacterial small subunit ribosomal RNA
Source: RNAcentral
AUACGUAGGGGGCGAGCGUUGUCCGGAAUUACUGGGCGUAAAGGGUGCGUAGGUGGCACUUUAAGUUGGAUGUGAAAUCCCCGUGCUUAACAUGGGAGCUGCAUCCAAUACUGGAGAGCUAGAGUGCAGGAGAGGUAAGCGGAAUUCCUAGUGUAUCGGUGAAAUGCGUAGAUAUUAGGAGGAACACCAGUGGCGAAGGCGGCUUACUGGACUGUAACUGACACUGAGGCACGAAAGCGUGGGGAGCAAACAGGAUUAGAUACCCUGGUAGUCCACGCUGUAAACGAUGAAUACUAGGUGUAGGGGGUAUCAACUCCCUCUGUGCCGCAGCAAACGCAAUAAGUAUUCCGCCUGGGGAGUACGGCCGCAAGGUUGAAACUCAAAUGAAUUGACGGGG